Non-coding RNA from Cricetulus griseus (Chinese hamster), 3215 nucleotides. The record is from RefSeq and is a predicted model, not a curated record. NCBI's taxonomy places the organism in Eukaryota, Metazoa, Chordata, Mammalia, Rodentia, Cricetidae.
UCCUGCGAUUAAAGGUGUGUACCACCACUGCCUGUCUUCUAUGGCUAACUAGUGGCUUAGUUCUGCAUUCUGAUCUUCAGGCAAGCUUUGUUAAAUUACAAACAAAAUGUCACUACACAAUUUUGGGAGAGACAACCCAUUGGCCACUUCUAAAUACAGUUUGCUUUAAUCAGACAGUUGUAGGUUGCUUCCCUGCCCCAGGUCUAAUACACAGCUGGUCUCAAAAUUGUUUUAAUAUACCUAUAUUGUUGUUUUACAUAUGUGAUAAUAAACUAUAGUACAUUGAAAGUCAGGUAUUUGUCCUAUAGUGUAUCAUUUAAUGUUGACGACACCCAAUAAGGAAAGUUUGCUAUUACUCUUUUAAGCUUAGUGAGAAAAAUUUACUUUGCCAAGGGCACAAAUGACUUUCCUAAACUCCAAGUCAUGAACAUCUGUCUGAGUCCCAAAGCCAUAGUUUUCACUAGCCUACACUGCAUCUUACCUGCUGUGAUUUUGGACACUUUAUAUAUCAACAAUCAUCUAUCUUACUCUUCUAGUAAGUGCAUAUAUGUGUGUUCACAUGUGUUGGAGAACAACCUCAGGUGUUGUUCUCUGGAGCUGCCCACCCCAUCCCUACCCGCUUUUAAGAUUUAUUUUUUUAAAUUUAUGUGUAAAGGUUGUGUGCAGGUACCCAUAGAGGCCAGAAGAGGGCUGUGGUGCCCACGCCACGACUAAGUCUGGGUAUCAAAAAAGCUUGGAGAUUUAAUUAAAUGCAGAGACAUCCAGCCACUUGUGCUAUGUGCGUCCCUCCAACUUUAUUCAUCUUCUUUAUUCCAGGGGGAGAGCAGCCUUAUAUACACUUACAACACAGUGGGAAAACCCCAGGUGUAAGAGCGCAUAGAAGAAGAGCUCCUGUUUUCCCAGGUGUAGUGGUGUGAGGCCGGGGCUGUAAGCCAGGACUAGAAAACAGGAUGCACCUGUGGCUAUUGGCUGACAAGCAACUCACAGAGACCCCAUGGAGGCUGGGGCCCAACAGAAUCCCCUGGUGCUGAGGCAGUAAAGUUCCCUGACAUGAGUGCUGGGAACUAAACUCAGAUCCUCUGCAAAAGCAACAAGCAUUCUUAACUGCUGAGCCAUCUCUCCAAUGGUCUUCCUUGUUUUUUUUCUUACAGAUAUAUUGUAUUUUAAACUAUGUGUCUUUGUGGGUGUUGCACACCUACAGAAGUCACAGACAACAGAACCCCUAGAGUAGCAGUUCCAGGCCAUUGUGAGCUGCCUAAUACUAUAUUCAUGAUGAUCUUGUCUGCUGAGAGCAUAGGUGGUGGAAUCCAUGGAGUACAUACCUUUACAAUCUCAGGAACUUGGUUUUUGGCAUCCCUAAAGUCAGUAUUUUUUAACUGCUUUUAAAUGUAAUCAGAAAUUGCAUCUCAGUAUGAGGACUGUAGAUGUUCCGACACCAAUCUCCAAAGGCAUCCAGAAGCACCGGCCUGGCCUGCAGCAUCUACAUCCAGAUCUUUCCCAAAAGAAGAGGGUGACUCUGCAGCUGACCCCAUCUCCCUUGAGUUAUCCCUUCUGGAGGGAACCAGUAUCUGACCUUUGUUAAGCCUGGAAAUCCUGGAGUCAGCUAGCUUGGAGAGAAUCAGAAAUGUCUCAUGCUUUUGAGGCAGUAACUCAAGCAAAUGGUCACUUAUCAUCUACAGUAGUGCUAAAUAUAUUCACAAUGCUGUACAGUCAAUCUCUAGAACUUUUUUUAUUUUUGAGACAUGGUCUUGCUACAUAGCCCAGGCUGGCCUUGAGCACAAACACACUCACUACCUUUUUUGAGGUCCUAGAGAUUGAACCAAGGACUUCAUGUUUGCUUGGCAAAUGCUCUCCCACUAAGCUAUACACCCCAGCUCAGGGUCUUGCACUCUUGGUCCUCCCAUCUCAGCUCUCCAAGUGCUGGGAUUACAGGCCUAUAUCUCCAUGCUCCAACUGUAAACUUUUUCAUUUGGCCAAACUGGAAGUGUAUACCCACUAACAACAGCUUCCCAUUUCCUCUUUGCCUCUGCCCUACCCACCCAUCCCCAGUCCCUGACAGCUACUUUUCUACUUUCUGUUUUUGGUCUUUGGCUAUUCUAGAUUGCUCAUGUAAGUAAACAAAGCAUUAUGUGUUCUUUUGUGCAGUGUUGUGCUGCUAGAUGACUCUCCAGGGGAAAUAUAAAAUUAAUAUCUGCCUCCAAACUGAGAUGGCACCAACAGUCCAAAGAAUGACUCAUUCAAGCUUACCUGCUGGGUAAAAUGAGUUUAUUUGGGUUACUUACAGAUUGGUGAGUUUAGCUGAUCACACAUGGCUACAAAGCCUCUGUUUUCUAUGACUCAAGUGCAAGCUUAGCUUUGCGCACCACCCAGUGUCAAGGCAACACAGACAGGGCCAGACUCUGGCAAAAGUAUCUGUUCACAUGUCUUCUGACCUUUCUCUUAUCAGGGAGUCUCUGGUCUCAGCAGACUGUUUGACUGUCUUGUUUUAUUGCAGUCUGGCCAGUAUAUCAGAUAAAUUGUAGCUUGCAACAAAAUGGAGUCACCCUGGCUGGGAUUCAGAAGGCUAGUCUCAGUACAUUGACUUGUUUCAUGUAACAGUGUCUGCAUGGUUCACUCGUGUUAGAGUGUGAAUUUCCUCCUAAGACAAUAAUAUUUCACUUUAUAAACAUACUUUUAGAUACCAUCCAUCAAUUUAUCUGUUCAAUUCUAGUACACGUGUAACAGUAUCAGAACUGCUAACCCAUACAACCCCUGGGAAACAGCUUUAUGAAAGAGCACAGGGCUAGGUGCCAACUGCUCUAGGCUUUAAGAUGGUGAUGAGCUCCACUCAUUUCCAAAAAUUCUUAAAGUGCUUUCUCUGAACUCCCUUUAAGUAUGAUUGUUUCAAACAUUUUACUACAGUGAUAUUAUAAGCCUCUCAAACCACACAAGUGGCCAGGCCCCUCCCACAAGGACCUCUAACUGCCAGGUUCCACCCACAGAAUACUCUGUCCUAACUGCUGGACCCUGCCCCAACCUACAGAGUAAAAAGCGCAAUCUGUGGACAUGAAAUCCCACUAAUCACCAACCUGGAAAGCUCCACCCUGAAAAGUUCCACUUGCUUCCCAGGAAACUCUACACAAGCCCUGUAUUCUGUUCAGUUUGCUGCGGUUUCUUGUUCAAGCAGAGGCAGCCGCCCUCCUGGUUUUUUCCCUCCCAAUAAAUCUCUUGUGUGA